GGAAGGUUCUUCUGCUGCAGCUGGAGUAGGUUCUGGACGCCUACUCUGAUCCUGGGACACUCCAAUGCCGAGUCCCUCUAGAAUGUUUCUCAAGCAAGCAGCUCUUUCUGAUGGCUGGGAUAGAUCCUCCAAGUCUUCCCAUGUCUGCUCAUCAUAGUAUCCUUUGUCUUCCAUGAAUCUGACAUCCCUUGACACUAGGACUCUCCUAGCUGUAGGAUCAUAGCAUUUGUAUCCCUUCUGUGAAGUGGAAUACCC
RNAcentral lists this long non-coding RNA (255 nucleotides) under Brassica rapa (field mustard). RNAcentral describes it as "long non-coding RNA (BRAP_LNC008581)". Lineage: Eukaryota; Viridiplantae; Streptophyta; Magnoliopsida; Brassicales; Brassicaceae. The record is from RNAcentral.